CCACCCCCCAUGGACGCCCUACUUCCUUUCCACCGCUUUCCCCCUCUUUCCACAUCUCUCACUCCACCCCAAAAAGGGGGAAAUUCUUCCACUGCUCCAGAUGGAAGGCCAGAAUCGCCUGCACAGCCCGGACACGCAGGUCUCCAAGUGCUGAUUUCAUUUCUUUCCCGACAAAAUUUGAAGCCAGGAGGGAAAUGGUUUGGCAGGAAAUCAACGUGCAAGCGGAGGAAAUAGCGUGGAGGCAGCAGAUUCUGUGUCGAGGUCUGAGGUGGGGUGUCCGAACCGAGACUGGACCCAGGCUCUGAAGACCCCAAGAGGCAGAAAGCCUCUUGGAGGCCUGGUGGGACGGCGGCCCCGAGGGUGUUUGCUCAGCGGCCUCAGAGUUUUCUCUCAACAGCUGUGGUGGAGUGGAUUCCAGAGAGUUCUUCCUCCCAUUCUCUCUGAUGUAGGUAGACAGAGGUGGGGACCAGCUGGGGAGAAAUGGAGGGGAGUCGGCAGAGUCCUCAAUUCCUGACCACCCAAGCUUCACGAGGGGACUUUUGAGUGCUUAUGUUGCAUGGAGCUGGGGGAUGGGGAAGGACAUCUGACAAAUGAUGAGAUGCUUAGCACAUGAGCAACGACGAAAGCUGCCCCUCCCAGGUCCCGGGCUCUCACCUGCCACCACCCCAGCCACUGAAGCCCCCCUGGCUCUUCUCAUUGAGAUCAGCCUCCCCUCCCAACCCAGCUACGCCAGCAUCUUUGACUGAGUUCUGGAAAAAUUUCUUUCUCCUUAACUCUGCCAAGAAAGGGCUGAAAAUUUCCAAGAGGAACACUUCACUGAGACCCAGAGGGAAAAAACCCAGGGGCAAAGGAACGAGAAGGGGGAAGGGAGAGAGACAGAAUCUCAUGCAGGCUUCACAACAAGUGUGGAUCUCACGACCCUGAGAUCAUGACCUGAGCCAACACCAAGAGCCGGAUGCUUACCCAACUGAGCCACCAGAAC
Molecule: non-coding RNA, 982 nt
Organism: Leptonychotes weddellii (Weddell seal)
Lineage: Eukaryota; Metazoa; Chordata; Mammalia; Carnivora; Phocidae
Source: RefSeq, a predicted model, not a curated record